GCGGCUGUGGCGGAAUUGGUAGACGCGCAAGAUUCAGGUUCUUGUGGGGGAAACCCCGUGGUGGUUCGAGUCCACUCAGCCGCA
RNAcentral lists this transfer RNA (84 nucleotides) under Tistlia consotensis USBA 355. RNAcentral's name for it is "alpha proteobacterium USBA 355 tRNA". It matches the Rfam family "tRNA". Rfam says of the family: Transfer RNA (tRNA) molecules are approximately 80 nucleotides in length. Their secondary structure includes four short double-helical elements and three loops (D, anti-codon, and T loops). The record is from Rfam by way of RNAcentral. RNAcentral also lists the same sequence under 1 other name. Lineage: Bacteria; Pseudomonadati; Pseudomonadota; Alphaproteobacteria; Rhodospirillales; Rhodovibrionaceae.